CUGCAUGCUCGAGAAGAGGCGAUUCCCUUCUCCACCAUCUUCUCCGGCGCGUCUUGAUUCGCCGACAAAUUCUACGCCGGCGAUCCAUCUUUUCAUACUCCUUCCUCCUUCCUCCAUCCUCCUUCCUCCAUCCUCCUUGCGUAUAUAGGAGUUGGCGCGACGAGGAUGAAGCCUCUACUGACCAUUAUGAACAACAAGGUCUUUGAUUUUAAUCUCCGUCCCUCUUUUCCCCAAAAUUGAAGGAAUGGUGUACCAGUUUCCAAAAUGCAUACUUCAACAAGGAGCUGAGCCCCAGAUAGAUAAGAUUAACAACAUGUGUAGAUGUGGAAUUUUUGACGACAUCAAGAGUGCUCUCAGAGAUGAGUAUGAUGAAGUUUUGAAAGACUCUGUCUUCGGUCCGAUUCUGGCAAUCAUAGAGAACCAGCUCAUUUUCUCAGAGAGGAUUAUCCACAGCUUCAUUUGCAAGCAGCUUCACUUUUUAUCCGAUUUCACAAGCUUGUAGUCGAAAUUAUGUUUUACUGCACAUAUCUCCAUUGUUGCA
Long non-coding RNA from Raphanus sativus (radish), 541 nucleotides. RefSeq lists it as uncharacterized. The record is from RefSeq and is a predicted model, not a curated record. The transcript is spliced from 3 exons. NCBI's taxonomy places the organism in Eukaryota, Viridiplantae, Streptophyta, Magnoliopsida, Brassicales, Brassicaceae.